RNAcentral lists this long non-coding RNA (6390 nucleotides) under Solanum tuberosum (potato). RNAcentral's name for it is "long non-coding RNA (STUB_LNC004205)". Lineage: Eukaryota; Viridiplantae; Streptophyta; Magnoliopsida; Solanales; Solanaceae. The record is from RNAcentral.
CAAGUAGGCUCUCUAGGUUUUUCUUAUUGUUAGUCUUUGUUUUACUAUCCUUUUUAGCGACUGAUAAAGGUGAGGCGCACGGGAUUAUAGUGCGUCCCCUUAUAGGAUAUAGUUUCUACCUCUAACUGAUGAUAGACGGAGAAACCGUAAGGAUAAACUUUAAGAUGAAUUUGUUAGGCUAACGCCGUUAACAGUAAAUGUGGAUUCUGAAUUUAAUGUUAUAUGAAAUUUUAGUUUAUUCUGACAUUCGUUUCUUCGUUUCCUGUGAAGAGUAAAAUAAGCUUUGCCAUUUUUUAGUCUAGGAGAAAAUAUCUUUCUUCUCAAAAGAAGACAUGAUAAAACAAAGAUAAAAAAGAAAAUAAUAACAAGGAAAAAAAAUGUUUGAAAUAUAUCCAAACUUUCAUCGAAAUUGUUGUAAGAAUACAUAACUUUGGAAAGGAUUUUUUGUCCCUUGCACUAUUUAAUACUCCCUUCGUUUCACACAGAAUGAUUUAGCUUGACUUGACACGGAGUUUAAGAAAAUAAAAAAGAUUUUUGAAUCAUGUGGUCCUAAAUUAAAGUUAUAUCAAAUGUACAAAAUUGCACUUUAAUCUUGUGGCCUUAAAUAUGCCAUGUUGAAAACUGAAAUUAAAAUGUUACCAAAAAAAAAAGAGAUCAUUCUUUUAGACUAAAAAGAAAAGGAAUUCAUUCUUUUUUAAACGGAGGGAGUAGAGUAUUUUAAAGAUAUAUAUGUGCACACGUGGACAUCAUAAAUAUUGCAUCAUUAUAAAUAGUAACGUGUCUACGUGGACACACAUAUAUCUUUAAAAUACAUUAUUAAAUAAUGCAGUGGGAGUAAAAGGUCCUUCAUAAAGUUUGAUAUCGUAACAACAAUUUUGGUAAAGGUUAGAAUAUUUUUCAGACUUUUUUCUCUAAUAACAAUAAAAUAACAAAAUAAAUAGAGCAAACAAACCAGUAAGUGAUAAUGAUUAAUGAGAAUCGAAAAAUAAGAUACUAGUAUUAUUUACGAAUACAAGAUAGUAGAGAUUGAUACUAUCUUAAUUCUCGACCUUCUUAUCUAGUAUCUUAUCAAAAGUUCAACCUUAAUUCUGGACCUUCCUGUCUUUUUAUUUGUAAUAAGUCUUUAGUCAAGUUCAAUCUAAUCACAUUUCUUUUUCAAUCUACCUCUCGUUAGGUAAUAAAAUUGCUAGCAUUUCCGUUAUGAAGUUGCGUUACUUAUAAUUUAAUGAUUUAAUAUUAUCGAUAAUUCAAAGUUACACCAAUUAUUCGCCACUUUCCAGAUGUUGGGAAAGUGUCUUUUUACUCGUUUACACGGGAGAAACGGUAUUGGCCGGUAGCACGCUGUUUCGCUGUCAAUCGGGGAGGAAGAAGACUUAUUUUAACUUUUGAGAAAUGUAUUAUUUGAAACAUUUUUUUUUUCCAUUAAUAUACAUCGUUUGGUGUGAGAGAUAAAAAUAAAUAGUGAUGAAAUAAGAAAAUAGUGAUGGAUAAAUUUUUUAUAUCUUGUUUCAUUACCAUGUUUGGGAUAACUUAUCCCACAAUUUGUUAUAGUGAUAGCUAGGAUAAGUUAUCCCAUAUACAUAGUGGAAUAAGUUAUUCUAGAAUAACACACCCCAGAAUAACUAAUCCUGAGAUAAUAUAACUUGUUUACGGCCAAACGAUCCGUCUACCCAUGUGAUUACACAUUUUCCAAUUUGAUCUAUAAUAGACUUUGCGAAUGUUAGCUCAUCACCGAGCUUAAAAAUGUGCAUCACGUAAACAUGUGAUAUUAUAAAAUCCUUCAUUUUUGCUUUCAAAUUUUGAUGUGGAAUUUGACUACUUCCUCCAUUUCAUAUUAAUUGAAUUUUUGAGGUGUUUCACACCUUUUAAGAAAAGUAGAUUAAGACAUAAAUUGAACAUAGUUUUCCAUUUUCACCCUUAUUAAUUAUUGUCAAAUUUAUUGAAGUCAUCACUUUGAAAAUCCAAAUGAAGGGUAAAAUUGGAAGAAUAUUUUAAAAAUAGUCUUGAAGAUUGAUCAAUUAAGUUAAUUUGAAAAAUGAAAAAUGCCUCAAAAAUUCAAUUAAUAUGAAAUGGAGGAAGUAAAAUCUUAUGUGCGUCCUCCUUGCUCAUAAGUCAAUCUAGAUAUCUAUCAGUCAUUUUCUUUGACAUGUUAGGUCCAUCAUUUGUCAUGAACGUUACAUAUAGUUUUUAGGAAUUUGGCGUUCUCAUUAAAAUUUGAACAAUUGUAUUGAGGGAGUUUUAAUAUCAUAUUUACUAUGGCACAACUCGUGACACAUAUUAUUCGUUUUAGACAAAGAGGUCUCACGUUCAAUCUCCUCGUUGAGGUUUACACAACUAUCAUACCACUGAAGUAUCUAACUCAAGCUCCUGACUAGUAUUGUUCACUUUGACCCAACAUACCUCAUAAUUUUGUUUUUUGGGCUCCACCAUCAUCAAAGUUCAAAAGCACGCAUUUUAUAUAAAGUUAUGAAUUAUAAAUCUCUUUACUUUUCUUUCCCAAUUUUGAUUUAAAUUCGUCUUAAUUAAGUGUAACAUAUACCUUAUUUAAUAUAGAAAGAGAAAGCCCAACAAGUAAUGACAUAUAAUAUAGAAAGAGAAAGCCGAACAAGUAAUGACAUAUCAGUAGGUUUGAUAAUUAAGACACUUAAAGGGUGUCAAUUAAAUUAAAAGUACUAGUGGACUGGUCAAAUUAAGUAAAAUGAAAGAAUAUGAAUUAUGAUGCAGAUUAGGUGAGUACACAUUUUGCCAUCGUAUCGACGUGCAGAUUAUAUCAGUUUCAGAUUCAAAAGAUUGAGAUAUAAAUCAAACUAAAGUGUAUAAUAUAUGUUCGAGCAUAUAAUUAUUUUUUUAAUAUUAUAUUAGUAAAAAUUAAUAAGAAAAAAAGUGAGCUGAACGAAUGUAUAUGAUGUCUGUAGAGGGAUUAACAACAUGAUAUUAUUUAUUUAAAGACAAUCAAUGCCAAUUGGUGGUAAAGAUGAAGAUACAUGGUCAAAUUAAAGAAUCUUCUCCAAGGCGGUAGCUGAUGCUUAAUUGACUUCAAUUUCUAUCAGCUAAGUUAGUCAUUUCUAAAAUUUUCUCGAAAUAAUAAUAAUAAUAAUUCUACUUCUCAACGAUGGGCCGAGUGGUAUGGAUUUAGUCUAUCUUUAAUGGGCUUUAGGAGCCCAAAUCCAUCCUUAUCAAUGAUCCAAUAUCUUCUUCUUCUUUUUUUUACUUCUAAACAAAAAAUCUAAUUUCUAUAUGUAGCUUUCAGUUUUGCUCAACUUUGUACAUGACCCUCAUCCGUGACUUAACUUUUCAAUAAUUUCUUUUCCUUUUUUUGUGACGCCAUUUCUUCUAUAAGUCCUUAAUGGUCAAAAAUAGGUUAAUUUUGAGGUAGAAACAAAGUUUAGAAAAUGAUUGUGUUGGUCACAUGUAUACAGUGACUAUUUUUUUUUUUUUUUUUUGUCCACCUCAAAUAUAUUUUUUAUACUUUUUAUUAUAUGCAAACAUUUGUAAAGAUUAUACGAGCGAACUAUUAUUUUAGCAAGUCCAUAAAAAAAAUGAACAUUGUCAAUAGAACGAUUCUAUUUGUAACACAUAAAUCUUACCUCUUACUUUUUCUCUUUUGUUUCUUAGAAUUUAGAUAAUGGUUUCCUCUAAUGACUUGAUUUGAUACCAAACACAUUGAUAUUAUGGUUGAAUGUCGGAGUAUUUCAAUUUCAUAAUUACCAACAAUUAGGUCAAAAUCUUUUUAAUUUUCUAAAAUAAAAUGGAUUAGGAAUGAUUAUUCAUUUUAUUACUUUAUUCUUAAGAUGCCACUAACUAUAAUAUAGGAGGAUAAUCACUUAACUAACUUUUAGCCCCACCUGUCCCAUUGCUAUUUUGACAGUUGGGUGAGGAACCCUCAAUCAUGAAGCAUGGGAACAAGCAAUUAUUCCAUAUUUAAAAAUUAGGAAAAAAAUAUAAAGGGCAUUAGAUAUGGAUCAAUUUAUUUGGUCAUAGGGAAAUUAAAUUAGUAGCCAACAUUCUGGUUACCACUACAAAUUAAGUGGAUGUCACCUAAUAACUAUAAGUACUUAUAAUUAAUAGUGUAAGAAGUUUAUACACUCUAACUCAAUACUAUAUUUUAACUUAUUAUAGUAAGUUAGUUUUCCUUUAAUGAGCAGUAUAGCAGGUAAGCUUCCCUUUAAUGAGCAAUUUUUUUUGGAGUUUUUAUGUGGACACAAAUUCAUAUUUCAAUUAUGGUCCUAAAAUAGAUAUCAGACACCGGAUAAAUAAAAAUAAAAUAAAAAAUUUCCUACAUUGAUCAACUUUUUUAAAACGGUUAUGUAACUAGCUUCGAGGUGAUCUGAUAGUGCAAAAAAAUAUGCGAAAUAAUAACAAUAAUUUAUCUAGAAUAAGAUCUGAAAAGGAUAGGGUGUACGCAGUCUCACAGGUGUAUAUAAAUUAAACUCCAUGGGGUCGUUUGGUUGAGAACAAGUUAUUUCGGGAUUAAUUAUGCCGAAAUAUAUUAUCCUCAUCAAAUAAGUUAUUCCAACAUAUAUAUAUAUGAGCUAACUUAUUUUAUCACUAUGAUAUAAAUGAUGACAUAAAUAAUCCAAUGAUUAUCUAAUACCUCCAAUCAAACGUAGAAUAAAACAGUUUUACAUUUUAUCUUGAGAUUAUUAUACCUUAUAUAUAUCUCACACCAAGCGACUCUCAAGUUGUAAUGAGAUCUUUCUAUAUCUUUGAUUGACAAAAAUAUAAUUGGAUAAUGAAAAAUAAUUAAUAGACUUGGAAGAACAUAAUUAAUAAACAAAGAACCUCAAUAAUGUCAUUAUCAAAAGGGUAUCACAUGGUAUACACUCAUUGCCUCUCUUUUUUUCUUUCCCCUUAGCCAUUUCAAAGGAGUCCUCAUGGCUUUGGUUUCACAUUUAUGUUUGUGUGAUUAUGACUUGAACUCAUUACCUGCCUUCUUCUUAUUCUUCAACAACAAUUUUCCUCUUUCUUUCUUUUUGGUUUUUUGUAUUUUAUAAAUAUUUUUAGUGUUCCUAUACUAAUUACUAAUUCUUGAUGAGUAUGGAUGAUUCAUUUGAUGAAGAGUGUGAUUAUUUAUUCAAGUCAGUUCUUGUUGGAGACUCAGCUGUGGGGAAAUCAAAUCUUUUAUCAAGAUUUGCAAGAAAUCAAUUUCAGCUUGAUUCUAAGCCAACUAUAGGUGUGGAAUUUGCUUAUAGAAAUAUUAGAGUUGGUGAUAAACUCAUCAAGGCUCAAAUAUGGGACACUGCUGGACAAGAAAGGUACCCAACUUUUUCCUUUUUAUAUUCUCUAGUCUUCAACAAUCUAUCUUUCAUUGUUUAACAUGGAUUGUCGUGGGAUGGUUGAGAUCCUUCUAUUCUUAAUCAGAUGUCUCGAGUUCAAAUCUUUAAGAAUGAAAAAGAUCAUAUUUAAAACGUUUCCCCAAAAAAUGGAUCAUACAUUGCACGAAUUCAAAUAUAACCAAUAUUAAUACAAAUAUCGAACAUUGAAAGAAAAAAAUAUAUUCUUAACACAUGUUUUGUGUGUCUCUAUUAUGAUCAUAGUUAUUGAAUUAGUGCAAGUUUGGUUUAGUGUUGGGAUUCUCCCUUUGAAACUCUUAAUUCUCUUUUAGCUCAAUUUCAAAUCCAAUUUACCGUCAAAACUUAGAACUCUAUAUAAUAAUCAUCCUCUGUAAUAACAAAUCAUUGUGAUAAUCAAGUUUUCAUUUGUAAUAAUUGUUUUUCAUGGUAUAUAGUUAGGUUAUUAUUAUAAUAAUAUCUCAAAAAAAAAAUUGAAUAAAAAAGUAUUAACAAAAUAUUUAUGAAUAAAUAGUAUAAUCUUGUUGUAAGACAUGCAAAGAGGAAACGGAGAGAAAAGAUGUGAAAAUUGCAAGAAAGUUAAAAUUAAUUUCAACAUCAGUCCAAACCGGCCAAUUGAUCUAUGAACCUUAUCUACACGCCUCUAAAAAGUCUAUUGUUUUUUUUUUUAAAACAUCUAAAAAAGUCUAUUAAAGUUAAGAUACCAGCUCACUUGACAUAAAUGAUAAAUUUGACUAAAAAACAUACAUUUAAAAUUUAAUUAAAUCUAUUUACGUUCACUUUGUUUUUUCUUUUGUCGUGUCCGCUAUCCGUUACACCAAUUCAAAUAAUUGCUUUAAAUUUCAAUAUAUAUCUAUAUCCAAUUACCAAAAGCAAAACAUAAUGCAAAUACGACGUCGUCAAUACUUUGCAUUAUUAUUAUUUUUAAUAUUUUAACUUCAUGGUGGGCUAUAAUUUUGAACUGUUACAAAGAGUGUGGAUGUGUAGUUUUUGACAAUACUAUCACUAUAGUAUAAUUUUUAGUAGCAAUAAAUAUACAUAUUUUUAAAAAGAGCCAAAAAAUUUAUCAACAUUAGUUAAUUAACAUUGAAUUUAAUGU